CUCGUAGGCGGUUUGGUACGGCGAUGGUGAAAGCUCCCGGCUCAACUGGGAGAGGUCCGUCGCAACGGCUGAACUCGAGGAUGGUAGAGGCAGAUGGAAUUCCUGGUGUAGCGGUGAAAUGCGUAGAGAUCAGGAGGAACACCCGUGGCGAAGGCGGUCUGCUGGGCCAUAUCUGACGCUGAGGAGCGAAAGCUAGGGGAGCGAACGGGAUUAGAUACCCCGGUAGUCCUAGCCGUAAACGAUGGAUACUAGGUGUCAGCGGUAUCGACCCCGCCGGCGCCGCAGCUAACGCGUUAAGUAUCCCGCCUGGGGAGUACGGCCGCAAGGUUGAA
RNAcentral lists this ribosomal RNA (332 nucleotides) under uncultured bacterium. RNAcentral describes it as "bacterial SSU rRNA". It matches the Rfam family "Bacterial small subunit ribosomal RNA", at positions 568 to 898 of the family's 1533-position model. The record is from RNAcentral.